GACGAACGCUGGCGGCGUGCUUAACACAUGCAAGUCGAACGAUGAAGCCCAGCUUUCGUGGGGGGUUAGAGUGGAAAACGUGUGUGAUACACGUGUAAACCACGUUUUAGACUGUGGUAUGCCUGCGGAACACUGUGUCUUAUCGGAGAUAAGCAAUCUCCCCGCAUGGUGGGGGUUGGAAGCUUUUGGUGGUUGUGGAUGGUCUCGCGGCUUAUCAGCUUGUUGGUGGGGUGGUGGCUUACCAAGGCGUCGACGGGUAGCCGGCCUGAGAGGGUGACCGGCCACACUGGGACUGAGACACGGCCCAGACUCCUACGGGAGGCAGCAGUGGGGAAUAUUGCACAAUGGGCGGAAGCCUGAUGCAGCGACGCCGCGUGCGGGAUGACGGCCUUCGGGUUGUAAACCUCUGUUACCAGGGAAGAAGCGUAAUUGACGGUAACUGGAAAAAAAGCACCGGCUAACUACGUG
RNAcentral lists this ribosomal RNA (468 nucleotides) under uncultured bacterium. Its description in RNAcentral is "partial 16S ribosomal RNA". It matches the Rfam family "Bacterial small subunit ribosomal RNA", at positions 28 to 507 of the family's 1533-position model. The record is from RNAcentral.